GUUAAUGUAGCUUAAGAUUAAAGCAAGGCACUGAAAAUGCCUAGAUGAGUGCCUUCACUCCAUAAACA
RNAcentral lists this transfer RNA (68 nucleotides) under Sylvicapra grimmia (bush duiker). RNAcentral describes it as "tRNA-Phe". It matches the Rfam family "tRNA". Rfam says of the family: Transfer RNA (tRNA) molecules are approximately 80 nucleotides in length. Their secondary structure includes four short double-helical elements and three loops (D, anti-codon, and T loops). The record is from RNAcentral. Lineage: Eukaryota; Metazoa; Chordata; Mammalia; Artiodactyla; Bovidae.